UACGGGGGAUGCAAGCGUUAUCCGGAAUCAUUGGGCGUAAAGCGCCUGUAGGUUGUUUAAUAAGUCUGUUGUUAAAGACUAGGGCUCAACCCUAGAAAAGCAAUGGAAACUACUAGACUAGAGUAUGGCAGGGGUAGAGGGAAUUUCUAGUGUAGCGGUGAAAUGCGUAGAUAUUAGAAAGAACACCGGUGGCGAAAGCGCUCUACUGGACCAUUACUGACACUCAGAGGCGAAAGCUAGGGUAGCAAAAGGGAUUAGAUACCCCUGUAGUCCUAGCCGUAAACGAUGGAUACUAGAUGUUGUGCUUAAUGUACAGUAUCCUAGCUAACGCGUUAAGUAUCCCGCCUGGGGAGUACGCUCGCAAGGGUG
RNAcentral lists this ribosomal RNA (369 nucleotides) under uncultured phototrophic eukaryote. RNAcentral's name for it is "SSU rRNA". It matches the Rfam family "Bacterial small subunit ribosomal RNA", at positions 524 to 896 of the family's 1533-position model. The record is from RNAcentral.